AUCAUACUCCCUCUGUCCCNNNNNUCUUGUCUUAGAUUUGUUUAGAUAUUAAUGUAUCUAGUCAAGUUUUAGUAUUUAGAUACAUUCAUUUCUAGACAAAGUUAAGACAAGAAUUUUGGGACAGAGGGAGUAGUUA
Molecule: non-coding RNA, 136 nt
Organism: Hordeum vulgare subsp. vulgare (domesticated barley)
Lineage: Eukaryota; Viridiplantae; Streptophyta; Magnoliopsida; Poales; Poaceae
Source: Rfam